Molecule: ribosomal RNA, 119 nt
Filed under: Alligator mississippiensis (American alligator)
Lineage: Eukaryota; Metazoa; Chordata; Crocodylia; Alligatoridae
Source: RNAcentral
GCCUACGGCCAGACUGGGCUGAUCACACCCGAUCCUGUCUGAUCUCAGAAGCUAAGCAGUCCCAGGCCCGGCUAGUACCUGGAUGGGAGACCGCCUGGGAAUCCCGGGUGCCGUAAGCC